Molecule: long non-coding RNA, 3891 nt
Organism: Manis javanica (Malayan pangolin)
Lineage: Eukaryota; Metazoa; Chordata; Mammalia; Pholidota; Manidae
Source: RefSeq, a predicted model, not a curated record
CGGCUGUAGGAGAUCUGAGGCAGAAGACUGUGAGAGCAGAGGUUUCAGAGGCAGAGGGCACCUGACCUAAAUGCAUCCUGACAGCAAACACUGUCUCACCUCCUCACAGGUGCACCUGUGUAGAGCAGCGAGGAGGGGGAAGAAUCACUGAAGCCAAGGUUUGGUCACCGGAAUAUUUUGCUGCCAGCUCCAACUGCAGUGAACCCCAGAGACUCCAUUGACUGGACAUGGCCUUGGACCUUUCAACACAUGGACCAACAAUGGCUGGCUCUCCUGGCACCUUCGGGACAAGCCUCCUGUGUAUUCCUGGAAUAAUAGCAGAGAGGCCGCAAAAGGUCACAGUACUAUAUCCUGAACGUCCAGAAAGUAGGAGCAUCUUACUGGUUGUCAUUGUGGUGGAGAAGAAGACAUUGAAUGUGAAGUCAUGAGGGCGGUGAAUGUUCCAGAACACAGGUGUGUGGACACGUGUGGGAGCCAUGCAGGCAAGAAUUCCAGAGAAAGAAGUGAGGAGAAGAGAGUUGAGAGUACAUGCAAUGAAGUGACUACAAUGAUGUUUUAUGGAAGAUGAGAGAAGCAAGACUAUAAAGGGAAUAAGGGAAUGUUUUAAAUUGUGCCAAAGGACUUAAGAUCAAACACCUUUGGAGUUCAGAUAUGAAAAUACAUGCUCUAGAAUGAUAGAAUUGGUAGCGUAGGCUGUUGAAUAAAGAUUUUGGAUGAACAUUGCCAAGACAUAACCUUGAGAUUGGAAAAAAUAAAUUUUGGAAAUAAGGAAGUAAUGAAUAAGAGACCAGGACAUCAAGAUGAAUAUUAAACUCAUUAAGAAUGAUGACAGAAGUAUUGAUGGAGUGGAUGACAAAUGAGAGAGAGGGAUCCAAAGGUUGAUUGUGACUAUAGUAUCACUAUCUAUACCACUAUAGAAUGCUACCCUGGGUACAGUCUGAUGGACUGUGCUUCAUAGAUCUGGUGAUUUUAAGAGAAGAGGGGAGAAAAAAAUGUUCUAGAAGCAGCAGUGAGGGUUAGAGACACCAAUUCUAUCUCCAGGCCUGUGGUGCUGUAUGGGGUAUGAGAGAAAGAGCAGCUACAUAGGGCUACAAGGAGGCAGCAUACUCAGGGAAUAGCUAAAUCUCCAUUAAAUGAAAAAGGUGAAGUUAAUACCUACAGAAUAGUUAGAAGAUUGAGAAGACUUAGAAGAGCUUCAGAGAGUGGCGUGCAAAAAUGUAGGAGGGCAAAAAAUAUUUUUGGUUGGGCAAUGGACAGAGCUAUUUGAAGGGGUACAUGUAGGUGAUGAAGGGUGGUCUGAGAAUUUGGACUUCUAGCAGCACCUGAGGUAAACGAAAUUGUGAAGCAUGAUGAGUUUCCUUCAAACGCUCUCUUAGGGGAAAAUGUGUGCUGGGUCCUACACAUAGCUUCCUUCUCAGGAUUAAUGUUUAAGCUGUUUGUGCUAGUGAGACUGGUAGUGUUGAAGCUGGGAGAGGCACAGUUUGACCGGGACCACCGGGAGCGCUGAAGGCACCUCUUGUAUUUAUGAAAGCCUUCAUGAAUGAGGCAGAUUCUCAGAGGUAUCACAGGCUUGCUAGUGCACAUAAAAAAGAAAUAAAAUCAUGUUUGUAUUGACAGAUUUAAAGUGAUCUGUUACUUCUGAAAGGAGAGGCUUGAGCAUGCAUGGCCUUGAAAGAACUGGAGGCACAAUAUUGGUCAGUUGUUAGGAUGUGUUUGUAUUCCUUUUUAAUUAUUUCAAGUAAUUAAAUACCAUUGGAAAUGGCAUAAAAGACCAGGACAACAAUCUCAUAAAUAUGAAAACUGACACUAAACAUUUUAUUUGUUUAUAUAUGUAUAUACAUAAUAUAUGUAAACAUAUUUUAUAUGUAAUUAAUAUAUUAAUAUAUAUAUCUUUAGAUUACAUUAUCUCUUCAUAGCCAAGCCUAUUGUUUGCAGUAUAAUUUUAAUGCCUUUGAGAAAUGAUAGUUGUUCAGAUUUUAAAAAACAUUCUCUGUACUUAACAUUUGUUCAAAGAUUUAGAAUCUGUGUCUUCAAAGGUUUGAAAGUAGCUUUAAUCCAAGAAAUACUUUUUUGAUUACAUUUAUUCUUUUUUCCCUUUGUCAGCUUGAGAGAGAUAAUUUAAAAGGGAGAAAGUGUGUUGAAGACAGAAUAAAACUUAUAUUUACUAUUAAUGUUCUGUUGUGGGUUAGAAAAUGUCUUACAUUUGGGUAAAUGAAAGAAAGGUUUCUUAUAUGAUCAUAACCUGGGAAGCAGCCACCUCCAUUGUCUUUUCUCUUGACUUCCUCCCUUAACUGGAGAGUUUUCCGCUCCUACAGCUUCCACCAUUGUCUUUCUAUAACUGCCCUGCGAAUUUAAUUCUCAGCUCAAAGCUCCUUUCUCUCUGCUUAGUAGCUCUUUACCUGACACUUUUAUGUAUCAACUUACAUGUUUUUUUCUCUUUGCAAAUUAAACAUGGAAAAGACAAAAAUAGAAAAGCUCAUUAAUCUAUGUAAGAAAAACAUGUCAGGGUAAGAGAAUGAAGUUAUGUUACAAGCACAGUGUUGAUUUUUAGCAAGUUGACCUAAGAUCAUUCUUCAUUAAAUAGCUAUAAUGUGGGUCACAGUUUGGAUCAUGCAAAUGUUCUGAAAUACUUAUUUGACUUAUAAAUUUAUUAUUAAUGUAUGAUAAUAUUAGUAAUAAACUUGAACUAGACUCAGAUGCUCAUUUGCCAAUAUACUGCUAAUAAACUCUAUGUUCAGAUAAACAAGAGAAAAAGCAAUAAAAAUGACUUACCAAAGGGCCCAUUUCCUACUUGAUAUGACAGUCUUAAUUUGUUUUCUAUGCCUUUACUUGUCUUCUCAUUUAUUACAACAGUUUCUGUUUCUAGAAUUAAAGAAGGUUACAUGUAAAAUUGUAGUUAAAUUUUUCCUCAAGUUCAGUCACCAAAGAGAUGGACUUAGAGCCAAAGCAAACAUUUAAUGGUAUAGCAAAUAGGAAACUUCUUAAUUUAUUCAGAAGAAUGUAAUAAAGCUGAGCUGGAAAAUCUGAAAUGGGAGAAAGAAGUAUAGCCUUACUAAAAGUAUGUCUUACAGGUGAGUAAAUGUAAUAGAAAAUCUUUUUAGUGAUAUCUAGAGUAAUUUUUGAGAUAUUAAUUUGGUUUUCUUCUCUGUAUUUUUUUUUCCUUCUCUUGCUCAGUAUUUCCCUUGCCUUUGUGAAAGAUUGUGUCACAGUAUAGAAGAAAACACUGCUUAGACUAAAGAAAAAAGGACAGAAUGGAGCUAGUUUGGACAAUGGGAAUCUCAGUAAUAAUCCUUAAUGGCUGUGAGACUGGAAGGAUCUUCCCAAUGCUUUUGUUCUUGAUAAGAUCCCAGAACUUUUGCAUUUCACGGGGUAGGAGAAUCCUCCAAAUAUUUGAAUUUAAAUUUACCACCAGUUUGGCAGUAUAGAACUUAUAAAUGGAAUUAAUUUUUUAAAUGUAUUUGUUUUUUGUUUUUGUUAUUAUUAUUAUCAACUUUUUUUACCUUAAGGCACCAAAUAGGACUAAACAUAAUUUUUGGUUACUGACAUACUGCCAUCAUUGCUUAUUUAUGGCCUUCAUUUAUUUUGUUGAUUUAAAUUUGUUUAUUUAUUAACAAAAUGAUGAAACUAUAUGACUCCAUUGUCCAAUCAAAAACUGAAUCUAAUACACAUCUGUAUGCUCUUUUUAUUGUGCUUUUUUGUCUUCCCUUGGGGUGGUCAUUUUUUUGUUUUGUUUAUUCAUACUUUGUCUUAAAGAAAAAUUAUUACAUGCAUAUACUGUCCUAAAAAAUUUUUGUUUAGUUUUGCUUCUUUUUGAAUUAUAUAAAAAGGGUACCAUAUAAUGUGUCUUCUGGGACUGUCUUCUUCCACUCAUUGUUAUCAUAAUAAAAUUCA